GACGAACGCUGGCGGCGUGCUUAACACAUGCAAGUCGAACGGGCCUGUCUUCUUUUUUGGGGGUGGGUUGAGUGGCGAACGGGUGAGUAUCACGUGAGUAACCUGCCCUUCGGUCCUGGAUAACCGCUUGAAAGGGCGGCUAAUACGGGGUGGUCCGGUUGGUCCGCAUGGGCUGGUCGGGAUAGAUUCACUGUUUUUGGUGUUUCGGCGGGGGAUGGGCUCGCGGCCUAUCAGCUUGUUGGUGGGGUGAUGGCCUACCAAGGCGGUGACGGGUAGCCGGCCUGAGAGGGUGGGCGGCCACACUGGGACUGAGAUACGGCCCAGACUCCUGCGGGAGGCAGCAGUGGGGGGUAUUGCACAAUGGGCGGAAGCCUGAUGCAGCGACGUCGCGUGAGGGAUGGAGGCCUUCGGGUUGUGAACCUCUGUUUCCGGUGGUGAAGGCCCUGUCCGUGUGGCGGGGUUGACGGUAGCCGGGGAUGAAGCGCCGGCUAACUACGUG
RNAcentral lists this ribosomal RNA (499 nucleotides) under uncultured bacterium. RNAcentral's name for it is "partial 16S ribosomal RNA". It matches the Rfam family "Bacterial small subunit ribosomal RNA", at positions 28 to 507 of the family's 1533-position model. The record is from RNAcentral.